This 28-nucleotide non-coding RNA is filed under the name Mus musculus (house mouse). Lineage: Eukaryota; Metazoa; Chordata; Mammalia; Rodentia; Muridae. The record is from RNAcentral.
GCCCUGCUCAGCCUGACUACAUUCACUC